UAACGUAGACGAAAGUUACGCUAAUACCGCAUAUUCUGUGAGCAGGAAAGCAGGGGGAUCGCAAGACCUUGCGCUGAUUGAGCGGCCGAUAUCAGAUUAGCUAGUUGGUGAGGUAAAGGCUCACCAAGGCGACGAUCUGUAGCGGGUCUGAGAGGAUGAUCCGCCACACUGGAACUGAGACACGGUCCAGACUCCUACGGGAGGCAGCAGUGGGGAAUUUUGGACAAUGGGCGCAAGCCUGAUCCAGCCAUGCCGCGUGAGUGAAGAAGGCCUUCGGGUUGUAAAGCUCUUUCGGCCGGGAAGAAAUCGCACAGGUUAAUACCCUGUGUGGAUGACGGUACCGGAAUAAGAAGCACCGGCUAACUACGUG
This 370-nucleotide ribosomal RNA is filed under the name uncultured bacterium. Its description in RNAcentral is "bacterial SSU rRNA". It matches the Rfam family "Bacterial small subunit ribosomal RNA", at positions 144 to 507 of the family's 1533-position model. The record is from RNAcentral.